AUUCGCCACUGGGUUGCGCGUUGCUUGCAGAGAAACCGGUGCGGGGUCCGCGAUCUGUGUUCUUGGGGGGCUCCCGGAGGUCCUAAGGACAGUAAGUAUUUGCAGAUUGAGCCCCUGGCUGCGGCUGAAGAGCGUGUCGAUCGGGCCAGAGGUGGUGCCCGAGGUGGGCAGGAGCGAGGUCAGCAGGCUCGGGACGGCCCGAGGGUGGCGUGCCGACGGCCACCCGCGCCUCCUGUGCCGAGGGGGGCCCGCUGGUGUCCGGGACAGCUACUGUCUGGGCUUACGGGGGGGAGGUGGCAAAGUGGGCAAAACUGGCCACAAGGAAGUUUCUAGGGGUGGUAUUUCUGGCCUUCCAGAAAGUGAGAUGAGUAGAGAGAGAAGGAGCAAGCCGGACUGCAACCCCGGUGCAGGCUGUUCCGCCGAUCAGCUGCGUGACAUUAACACAGUCCCCCGUUGGGGGUGCCCGGCCGGCUCAGUUGGGGGAGUGUGCGACUGCUGAUAUCGGGGUGGUGAGUUUGAGCCCUAUGUGGGGUGUAGAGACGACUUGAAAGAAAUCUCAAAAACAAAAGUCCUCCUGUGUUUUGCACUUUCCUCUCCUGAGAAUAGAGCUUUGAUUUGUAAGACCUUUUUCUACUCCAGAAAGUUGUGUCCUUGAGACAUAUGGCAUUUAAAAGGGGCCACCUGAGUGGCGCCUGGGGGGCUCAGUUGGUUAAGCGACCGACUUCGGCUCAGGUCACGAUCUUGCAGUUUGUGAGUUGGAGCCCCGCGUCGGGCUCUGUGCUGACAGCUCAAGGCCUGGAGCUGCUUCGGAUUCUGUGUCUCCCCCUCUCUCUACCCCUCACCUGCUCACGCUCUGUGUCUGUCUCUCAGUAAUAAAUAAACAUUAAAAAAAAAUUUUUUUUUAAUAAAAUAAAAGGGUCCACCUGAUGAGUAAAAUGUGAAUUUUUAAUCAGAUGUUGGGGGCGCCUGGGUGGCUCAGUCGGUCAAGCAUUUGACUUGGGCUCAGGUCAUGAUCUCACCGUUUGUGGGUUCAAGCCCUGCUUUGAGUGAGCCCAACUUCUCUCUCCCUCUCUCUGCCCCUCACUCACUUGCACCUUCUCUGUCUCAAAAAAAGCCAUAUAUAUAUAUAUAUAUAUAUAUGUGUGUGUAUGUAUAAAACGUUGGUUGUAGAAUAGUUAAGCAAAACAAAGAGUCAAGUCCUACGUAGUCCUACCACUCAGCCAUAACCCUGGCUGUCAUGGUUGACGUUGUGAUACAUAUUCGUCAGUCUUUAACUGUCUGCACUUUUUAAAAAUGCCGUUUCGUAACCUUCUCAGUGUAAUAAGUCGUCCUCAUUUUCCCAUCACGAACGUCCUACAGAACUAACAACCGCAUGACAGCGUGUGGUCCACGGGCAGCAUGGUUUCCUUUGCAUCCCUGUGGAUAGACGGCGACAUUAGUGGUUGCUUUUCCCUCCCGCGCUUGGCGUGGCUCACAUCCGCGGUCGUUUUCCAAGGAUGCGUUCCCAUUUGUUUGGUGUUGAGUCGCCAUCCAGAACGGAUGCAAGUCUCCGUGUCCGUCGGCAGGGCAAAGCUUCCGUUUCCCCACAGCCGUGUCGAACGUGGGAGUAUCGGGCUUGCCUUUUCUUAGGUGGACAGCUGUAAGGUGGCCGUGUUUUUAUGAUGUUCUUAAACGUUUACUUAUUAGAGAGAGAGCACGUGUGCAUGUGAGCGGGGACGGGGCACAGGGGUCAGCUCCGCGCCCCGCGGCUUCAGGAGUGGUGUCAGCACGGUGUGUGUGCACUUACCCCUUUGUGUGAGGCCGCUUUCACUCACUCGAACGUGUUUGACAUUGAUCUCCAUCGUUGCACGUAUUGGGAGUCAGUUCCUUCUUCUGCCGCGUGGUGUUCUGCCCUGUGAACUUACCGGUCUUUUCCGUGGUUCCCUAUUCACAUGGAUGGUGAGGAGCUGUCCUUUUUUUUUUUUUUUUUUUUCCCUUUUUAAGUGUAUUUUUGGGAGGGGGAGAGAGGGAGACAGAAGUUCCAAAGCGGGCUCUGCACUGACAGCACAGAGCCCGAUGCGGGGCUCAAACCCACGAAUCGUGAGAUCGUGACCUGAACCGAAGUCAGACGCCCAACCAACCGACUGAGCCACCCAGGCGCCCCGAACCCGACUCCUAUUAUCAUGAACGUAUUGACUAUUUAGUGAACCCCACACGUAACCAGUCGUGCAUCGCUGUGCCCCUCACCCCCCACGUGGACGCCUUGUUCGUCCUGCUCUGCCUCGGCCCCCCGUGGUGGCCUCUGUCUCACGGGGAACGUCCUCUUGACCCAACUCAGGCUUUGCCACCCUGUCCCGGCCCCUCCGUGCCUGCACGCCCCGGUUGGAAUUUCGACCCCCUGUGCCAGGAGGUUCCUGAAAUCCCCGUGUCGCCCUGGGCCACCAUGGUUCCUCUUCCUUGCGUGGACACCUACUCUGUCCUGUUAACGUUCGGAAAGUAAAAGUGUCUCGGCUUUUAACAUGCUUCCUUUUCAUCAGGAAAGCAAACCUUUUCAUGUUUAUUGGCCAUUUGGGUUUCUUGAAUGGCCUUUUUAGCCCUGUAUUUUUCUACUGCUGGGUGUUUGCUUUUAUUGUUAAUUUGUAAGAAUUAUUCUCUUCUUUUGUUAAUUUUUAAGAACUAAAGAAGCUCACAUUGAAAUAUAGAUGCUUUUUUCUGACCCCAAUGUAAAACAGAAGUUUCCAGAUACAUUUCUAAUUUUGUCAACUGUGGGGUAAGUGUAAUCAGAAAUAUGAAUGUAAAUAGUGGAUGCUGCUUUAAUGGUUAGUUCUUUUUUUUUUUUUAAUUUUUUUAAUGAAUAUUUAUUUUUGAGAGAGAGAAAGAGAGAUACAGAGCGUGAGCAAGGGAUGGGCGUAGAGAGAGACACAGAAUCCGAAGCAGGAUCCAGAUUCUGAGUUGUCGGCACAGAGCCCGACGCGGGGCUCGAACCCACAAACCUCGAGAUCAUGACCUGGGCCGCGGGUUCCUUGUACGCGUGGGUGCGUGCACCACUUGUCCCUUGUGACAGGCUUGUUUCACGGAACACCACAUCCUCCGGGUUCAUCCACAUCGUAGCAGGUGUCAGAAUUUCCUUUCUUUUUAAGGCUGAAUAACAUUCCUCUGUGAUUUUGUCUGUCUGUCUGUCCAUCACUGGAUACUGGGUGGUACCUUGGUGGUGGGGAGACAUUCAUAAUAAACUUAGUGAAAAUCAGGUUAC
Long non-coding RNA from Neofelis nebulosa (Clouded leopard), 3232 nucleotides. RefSeq lists it as uncharacterized. The transcript is spliced from 2 exons. The record is from RefSeq and is a predicted model, not a curated record. Lineage: Eukaryota; Metazoa; Chordata; Mammalia; Carnivora; Felidae.